GAGAGAGAAAGCAUUCCCACCCCGAGAAUCGGCUUGCCUUCCAAACCAGAGCUUUGACGACUCUCAAGGGAGAACCAGCAGCAGAGGCAUGAUGGAAUGAGGAAGCUGCUACUAUGGCCUCUGCAGAUGGCCAUCUCAGACCAAGCCCAAGACUGCCCUUCCUGACCCCUCUGAAGAUGUCCUUUCAAGUGAAGGAGAUAACACAUGUGUGUGUACACAAGUGCACACUCCUGAGGAGUGCCUACACAGAAGCCAGAGCCGAUUUCCGGUGUCCUCCAUCAUACUCUGCCUUAUUUUUGAGAUUGGGUCUCGAUCUUACUGAACCUGGAUCUCACUAAACCUGAAUCUUACUGAACCUGGAUCUCACUGAUCCUGAAUCUCACUGAACCUGGAUCUCACUGAACCUGGAUCUCACUGAACCUGGAUCUCACUGAACCUGGAUCUCACUGACCCUGAAUCUCACUGAUCCUGAAUCUUACUGAUCCUGGAUCUCACUGAACCUGGAUCUUACUGAUCCUUAAUGAUCCUGGAUCUCACUGAACCUGGAUCUCACUGAACCUGGAUCUCACUGAACCUGGAUCUCACUGAUCCUGGAUCUUACUGAUUCUGGAUCUCACUGAACCUGGAUUUUACUGAUCCUUAAUGAUUCUGGAUCUCACUGAACCUGGAUCUCACUGAAUCUGGAUCUUACUGAUCCUGAAUGAUCCUGGAGCUCAUUGAACCUGGAUCUUACUGAUCCUGAAUGAUCCUGAGCUCACUGAACCUGGAUCUCACUGAACCUGGAUCUCACUGAACCUGGAUCUCACUGAUCCUGGAUCUCACUGAACCUGGAUCUUACUGAUCCUGAAUGAUCCUGGAGCUCAUUGAACCUGGAUCUUACUGAUCCUGAAUGAUCCUGAGCUCACUGAACCUGGAUCUCACUGAUCCUGGAUCUCACUGAUCCUGGAUCUUACUGAUCCUGAAUCUUACUGAUCCUGGAUCUCACUGAACCUGGAUCUCACUGAACCUGGAUCUCACUGAACCUGGAUCUCACUGAUCCUGGAUCUCACUGAACCUGGAUCUUACUGAUCCUGAAUUUCACUGAUCCUGGCUCUUACUGAUCCUGGAUCUUACUGAACCUGGAUCUUACUGAUCUUGGAUCUUUACUGAACCUGGAUCUUACUGAUCCUGAAUCUUACUGAUCCUGGAUCUCACUGAACCUGGAUCUCACUGAUCCUGGAUCUCACUGAACCUGGAUCUUACUGAUCCUGAAUCUUACUGCUCCCAGAUCUCACUGAUCCUGGAUCUUACUGAACCUGGAUCUUACUGAACCUGGAUCUCACUGAGCCUGGAUCUUACUGAGCCUGGAUCUUGCUGCUUUAGCCAGACUGAAUGCUGGAUGUGGGCCCAGGAUACUAUUAAUGGAAGCUUUCAGCGCUGGGAUGAUAGGUGUGUGUGAAGCACCUUUCAUGUGCUCGGCAGUGAUGUGGGUACCAGGGGGCUGAAAUCAGAGGAAAUCACACCACGAUCUUCACCCUGUGCCAUCUUCCCUCCUACUAUGGACAGAAGCAAUGCAAGCAGCUUCUACCGAAAAUUACCAAGCACAAACCGCACAUGAAAUAGUUCCCAUGAAGGGCAAAAUGGGACAGAUCCAUCUUGUUACAUUUAAUCAGGAAAGGGGGUUUGGAGAAAUGGUUCAGUGAUCCAGAGCCCUUGCUGCUCCUGCAGAGGACCUGCGUUUGGUUUCUAGCACCUCCAGGAGUACUUCACUACUGUCUGUUUCCAGGAGUACCCACCAGAUCCAGAUCCUGGUCUCUGUGGGUUCCUGUGUCCAAAUGGAACACAUAUACACAUGGAGGCUUGCACACAUAAAAAUAAAUAUAUCUUUUAAAAGGGUCCUCCUUGUGUGUGGUAUGGGGUCGGAGCUGCUACAGGCCGUGGGUGUGCAGUAAUGACUGACUCAGCUUGACCUCGGUGCUGGCUGUGUUUGCGUAGAGAAAAUCUAACAAGCCAUAAUGCACAAUUUGUUCACUUUCCUGUAUGCAUGU
This is a long non-coding RNA of Apodemus sylvaticus (European woodmouse), 2027 nucleotides long. RefSeq lists it as uncharacterized. The record is from RefSeq and is a predicted model, not a curated record. Lineage: Eukaryota; Metazoa; Chordata; Mammalia; Rodentia; Muridae. The transcript has 3 exons.